UUUAAAUUGAGAGUGUGAUCCUGGCUCAGGACGAACGCUGGCGGCGUGCCUAACACAUGCAAGUCGAGCGAUGAAGCUUCCUUCGGGAAGUGGAUUAGCGGCGGACGGG
This 109-nucleotide ribosomal RNA is filed under the name Clostridium botulinum C/D. RNAcentral describes it as "partial 16S ribosomal RNA". It matches the Rfam family "Bacterial small subunit ribosomal RNA", at positions 1 to 106 of the family's 1533-position model. Lineage: Bacteria; Bacillati; Bacillota; Clostridia; Eubacteriales; Clostridiaceae. The record is from RNAcentral.